GGCAAACAGAAGAUCGGCGUUCGAACAGACAGCAGCAAGAGCUUUGAAAUAACCUGGUUCAUGGAAAGGUUUCAAAGGAGGAAAAUCUAUGUGUGCAGAGAAUAUGCUGAAAUUGUUGUGGUGCCGACAGUCUGAAUAGCCCAGGGAAGGAAAUGAAAUUUAUGAAUCAUUGAAUGUCCCAGUGAUUUUCCAAGGUCUGAAAGGCCAAGUUCAGCUCCUGUUGAACACCGGACUGCAGAACCCACAGGUCUGGAAGAGUUUCACCCAACUUGAUGACAAUGAACUCAAACAAUUCAGAGCUUCCCAUCAGCCUUGUGCAGAUUCAGGAGCCUUCAAGCCCCAAAUGUCUUUGCUGGAGCAGAGCAAUGUCUGGAAGCUGAAGUAUCUCUGUUUGAGCCUGUUCCUCGUUACUGGCUGUGCUUUGUACAUAAGGAGAGAUUCAAAAUUUGAAAAACAACUUCAAGCGGUCAAUGCCUUAUGGACCUGAUCCAGCUCCAUUAAAAUAACUGGAGUGACUUCCAUUGACUUCAACAGGAUUUGGAGCGUGGCCUUCAGUAAGUAAUUUCAGUCCAGCAAACCUGCACCGAUUGAAGAAAGGUCCUUGAGCUUGUUAAAGUCCCAACAGCUGAAGAUUCGUUAAGAAAGCUUUCUGAAUGACUCCAAUACAUAAAGAACCUGACUGUAUGAUCCUUUCCUGAACAAAACCCCCAAAUUUAGUCAAGUAGGAAUGCCAACUAAGGAAUAACAAAAAGGUAAAUAUUAAAAUAUGCAGUGGAACAAGUCAUGUUGCUGGCUUUUGUUUUGCUUUUUUACAUAACACAUGGUUUCUAGAUUUGUAUUUAAAAAAUGUAGGAACCGAACACCUGCUGAAGUUAUCCUUCAUUGCUGAAAGCACCUACUGAAGUCUCCUCACUGUAUGGUUUUAGAAACAGGAAUAACAGGAGGUAGCCAACCCAAAACUAUAGCCUUUAGACAAAAAGGAGAAAGGAACAGUCGUAGUUCCUAUAUUCUAGGGAUCUCACACUGGUCUUCCCCUCCUUCUACUGACUGUCCCUUUCUCAUGUGACUCCCUCAUGUUUAUUUUGACUCCUUUCUUUCUGCAACUACUAACUACAACUGAUUUUCAGUCUUACCACCAAGGUAAACCAGAAAUUAUUAAAAAGUUACUACAUGAUUAACAUUU
Molecule: long non-coding RNA, 1183 nt
Filed under: Calidris pugnax (ruff)
Lineage: Eukaryota; Metazoa; Chordata; Aves; Charadriiformes; Scolopacidae
Description: lncRNA (ENSCPUG00000004584.1)
Source: RNAcentral